GCGAUUAUCGGCGUUAAUAUAUGACCCGAUUAGCAGCUUCCGGGAAACCAAAGUUUUUCGUUUCCGGGGGAAGUAUGGUUGCAAAGCUGAAACUUAAAGGAAUUGACGGAAGGGCACCACCAGGAGUGGAGCCUGCGGCUUAAUUUGACUCAACACGGGAAAACUCACCCGGCCCGGACACCGUAAGGAUUGACAGACUGAGAGCUCUUUCUUAAUUCGGUGGGUGGUGGUGCAUGGCCGUUCUUAGUUGGUGGAGCGAUUUGUCUGGUUAAUUCCGAUAACGAACGAGACUCUGGCCUAUUAAAUAGACGAUAUAUUUAAAAGUAUAUCGCGCUUCUUAGAGGGACAAGCGGCGUCUAGCCGCAUGAAAUAGAGCAAUAACAGGUCUGUGAUGCCCUUAGAUGUCCGGGGCUGCACGCGCGCUACACUGAAAGAAUCAGUGUGCGUUACGCCUAGUUCGGAAGAACCGGGUAACCCAAGUAAAUUCUUUCGUGCUUGGGAUAGGGAAUUGCAAUUAUUUCCCUUAAACGAGGAAUUCCCAGUAAAUGCGGGUCAUAAGCUCGCGUUGAUUACGUC
Molecule: ribosomal RNA, 576 nt
Filed under: Aporcelaimellus sp. TKb40
Lineage: Eukaryota; Metazoa; Nematoda; Enoplea; Dorylaimida; Aporcelaimidae
Also listed under: 1 other name
Description: SSU rRNA
Rfam family: Eukaryotic small subunit ribosomal RNA
Source: RNAcentral